UAACGGCGAGCGAACGGGGAAGAGCUCAUAGCCGAAUCCGGAGUCGCGAGGCUUCGGAAAUGUGGCGUAUGGGAGGCGGCAUUCCCCCGUCGAGGAGACCGGUGCAAGUCCCCAUGAGAGGGGCAUGCUUCCCGGAGAGGGUGCUAGGCCCUUACCGCCGGGAUCCUAGGCGGGAGUCGCCGUUCUCCCGGGAGUCGGGUUGCUUGGGAGUGCAGCCCAAAGCGGGUGGUAAACUCCACCUAAAGCUAAAUAAGACCGAGAGACCGAUAGCAAACAAGUACCGUGAGGGAAAGUUGAAAAGCACUUUGAAGAGAGAGUUCAAGAGUACGUGAAACCGUUUGGAGGUAAACGGGUGGGGCUUCGAAAGCCUAAGGCGGUUGCGGAUUCAGUCUUCGGGGGUUCUCCCCCUCCCGUGCCCUCGCAUCGAGAGGUGGGGGCGCGGGAGAUAGGGCGUUCUUCCGGGGGCGCACUUCCGCGUGCCGUCUAGCAGGACGCUGCGAGGGGUUGAACGGGCGUCGUGGGGACGCGCCGAAAGGUGGCCGUCUUUCCUUCGGGAUCGACGGUGUUAAAGGCGGUGCGAGGCCCGAGGGGCCGUUCGACCGAGGUUUUGGUUACCCUCCCGGCAGAGAGCCGCGGCCAGGGCGGGCCGUCCAACGUAUCGGGGUGACACCCAGAGGGGUGAACGCCGUUCGUCGAGGUGAUGCCCCGUCACGGGCCGUCCAUGGGACGGGUAGGUUUGGCAGCGAGUAGGUCGGUCUCCCACCCGACCCGUCUUGAAACACGGACCAAGGANUCCAAGGCGCGCGCGAGUCCCCGGGACUUGAUUAGGCCCGUGGGCGCAAUGAAAGUGAAGGUCGACGAGGGUCGGCCCAGUUGGGAUCCCGUCCUGGAGAUAGGGGGCGGGCGCACCAACGUCCCGUCCGGCAUCGGGUUCGGUGGGGCGGAGACAGAGCGCGCGCGUUGGGACCCGAAAGAUGGUGAACUAUGCCUGGGCAGGAUGAAGCCAGAGGAAACUCUGGUGGAGGUCCGUAGCGAUUCUGACGUGCAAAUCGAUCGUC
Molecule: ribosomal RNA, 1058 nt
Filed under: Anchigarypus japonicus
Lineage: Eukaryota; Metazoa; Arthropoda; Arachnida; Pseudoscorpiones; Garypidae
Description: partial large subunit ribosomal RNA
Rfam family: Eukaryotic large subunit ribosomal RNA
Source: RNAcentral